Anopheles aquasalis is the source of this 1056-nucleotide long non-coding RNA. RefSeq lists it as uncharacterized. The record is from RefSeq and is a predicted model, not a curated record. Lineage: Eukaryota; Metazoa; Arthropoda; Insecta; Diptera; Culicidae.
UAAAAACGGCCGCUACACCGAACUGCCAGUGCGACAGGGGGGCCCACCACUACCACAUCUGUCAUGGAAGACGCGCGGGUAUUAUGGCCAGCCCAGGGUAGACCCGGAACCAAACGAAACCCCUUGCAAGGGGAGUGUAGUGUGUAGUUAAACAAAUAGAAGCGAGAACGAGUGAGCACAAACAGAAAGGUGGAGCCGAGGCGAGCGGUGUCGUGGCUCGGGUCGGGUGUCGAGUUCGCUCGGGUGCUGUUAGCGUAGCGGUCCCCAGUCCUUGUCAUCGUUCCAGGCGAUCCGUUACCUGUCCGUUUACCUGCCCGGUGCUCGCGCUAUGUGCAGCAGAUCCUGCGUUGCUCGGUUGAUAGUGGUGGUGCUGGUGCUGGUGCUGCUGAUGGUGGUCACCGUUCCCCCGGUUGAGGCCGUGCGCGUCAUCUUCCGGGUGCAGGACCCGGCUGCUGGUUUCGGUGCCAGCACGGCCAACAUUCUCCGCUCGCCGAACCUGGUCGGUAGUAGCUGCGGUAUCGGCCAGGUGUCCGAUACGCGCGGUAUCUGCCGGAGUACUAUAUCCUUCUAGUUCGCAGCGAAAACGCGCACGGAUUAGCGAAUAAGCGUGUGCCGAGCGAGGUCGCGGAUAUGCUGCGCAAGCGAUUACGGGUUGCGGGUGCCCUUUACAGACACCACUGCCGAACCAAAGUGGGUAGUGAGAAUAUUCUUCCCACAAAAAAGCCGACACCAGCAUCAUCAUCAUCAUCACCACGAGUCUCAGAGCCACGAUAGAAAGCGAAGAGAAAAAAAAAAACACCCCCCAGCAAACCAGCCAGUCCUCGCCUGGAGCACACGACAGCGAUUUCGAGCGAUUUCGAGCGAUUAUCAAUAAAUAAGUUACACAACUACAUAGAUGGUAUGCACACAUAUGUGUGCAACGAGCGGCAUACAAUACCCUCGCGGGCCUGAUAGUGCAAAUGCCUGUGCCGACCACUUGAACAAACGCCCUGAUCAUGAUUUUGCGCUAAUUAUCCCUGUAACAAUAAAAUUUACAACCUAUGCUGUCACUAGUUA